Molecule: ribosomal RNA, 396 nt
Filed under: Lysinibacillus sp. C21
Lineage: Bacteria; Bacillati; Bacillota; Bacilli; Caryophanales; Bacillaceae
Description: bacterial SSU rRNA
Rfam family: Bacterial small subunit ribosomal RNA
Source: RNAcentral
AACGCGAAGAACCUUACCAGGUCUUGACAUCCCGUUGACCACUGUAGAGAUAUGGUUUUCCCUUCGGGGACAACGGUGACAGGUGGUGCAUGGUUGUCGUCAGCUCGUGUCGUGAGAUGUUGGGUUAAGUCCCGCAACGAGCGCAACCCUUGAUCUUAGUUGCCAUCAUUUAGUUGGGCACUCUAAGGUGACUGCCGGUGACAAACCGGAGGAAGGUGGGGAUGACGUCAAAUCAUCAUGCCCCUUAUGACCUGGGCUACACACGUGCUACAAUGGACGAUACAAACGGUUGCCAACUCGCGAGAGGGAGCUAAUCCGAUAAAGUCGUUCUCAGUUCGGAUUGUAGGCUGCAACUCGCCUACAUGAAGCCGGAAUCGCUAGUAAUCGCGGAUCAGC